GAUGAACGCUGGCGGCGUGCCUAAUACAUGCAAGUCGAGCGAACGGACGAGAAGCUUGCUUCUCUGAUGUUAGCGGCGGACGGGUGAGUAACGCGUGGAUAACCUACCUAUAAGACUGGGAUAACUUCGGGAAACCGGAGCUAAUACCGGAUGAUAUUUUGAACCGCAUGGUUCAAAAGUGAAAGACGGUCUUGCUGUCACUUAUAGAUGGAUCCGCGCUGCAUUAGCUAGUUGGUAAGGUAACGGCUUACCAAGGCAACGAUGCAUAGCCGACCUGAGAGGGUGAUCGGCCACACUGGAACUGAGACACGGUCCAGACUCCUACGGGAGGCAGCAGUAGGGAAUCUUCCGCAAUGGGCGAAAGCCUGACGGAGCAACGCCGCGUGAGUGAUGAAGGUCUUCGGAUCGUAAAACUCUGCUAUUAGGGAAGAACAUAUGUGUAAGUAACUGUGCACAUCUUGACGGUACCUAAUCAGAAAGCCACGGCUAACUACGUG
This 497-nucleotide ribosomal RNA is filed under the name uncultured bacterium. RNAcentral's name for it is "partial 16S ribosomal RNA". It matches the Rfam family "Bacterial small subunit ribosomal RNA", at positions 28 to 507 of the family's 1533-position model. The record is from RNAcentral.